GUGGGGAAUAUUGGGCAAUGGGGGAAACCCUGACCCAGCAACGCCGCGUGGAGGAAGAAGGUUUUCGGAUCGUAAACUCCUGUCCUCAGGGAAGAGGAGAAGACGGUACCUGAGGAGGAAGCCCCGGCUAACUACGUGCCAGCAGCCGCGGUAAUACGUAGGUGGCAAGCGUUGUCCGGAUUUACUGGGUGUAAAGGGCGUGUAGCCGGGCCGACAAGUCAGAUGUGAAAUCCGCGGGCUUAACCCGCGAACUGCAUUUGAAACUGUUGGUCUUGAGUAUCGGAGAGGUCAUCGGAAUUCCUAGUGUAGCGGUGAAAUGCGUAGAUAUUAGGAAGAACACCAGUGGCGAAGGCGGAUGACUGGACGACAACUGACGGUGAGGCGCGAAAGCGUGGGGAGCAAACAGGAUUAGAAACCCUAGUAGUCC
This 427-nucleotide ribosomal RNA is filed under the name uncultured bacterium. RNAcentral's name for it is "bacterial SSU rRNA". It matches the Rfam family "Bacterial small subunit ribosomal RNA", at positions 354 to 796 of the family's 1533-position model. The record is from RNAcentral.